UACGUAGGGAGCGAGCGUUGUCCGGAUUUACUGGGUGUAAAGGGUGCGCAGGCGGCUCUGCAAGUCAGGCGUGAAAGCUAGGGGCUCAACCCCUAAACUGCGCUUGAAACUGUGGAGCUUGAGUGGAGUAGAGGCAGGCGGAAUUCCCGGUGUAGCGGUGAAAUGCGUAGAGAUCGGGAGGAACACCAGUGGCGAAGGCGGCCUGCUGGGCUUUAACUGACGCUCAGGCACGAAAGCAUGGGUAGCAGACAGG
Molecule: ribosomal RNA, 253 nt
Filed under: uncultured bacterium
Lineage: Bacteria
Description: partial 16S ribosomal RNA
Rfam family: Bacterial small subunit ribosomal RNA
Source: RNAcentral